ACGCUGGCGGCAGGCCUACACAUGCAAGUCGAGCGGUAGAGAGAAGCUUGCUUCUCUUGAGAGCGGCGGACGGGUGAGUAAUGCCUAGGAAUCUGCCUAGUGGUGGGGGAUAACGUUCGGAAACGGACGCUAAUACCGCAUACGUCCUACGGGAGAAAGCGGGGGACCUUCGGGCCUCGCGCCAUUAGAUGAGCCUAGGUCGGAUUAGCUAGUUGGUGAGGUAAUGGCUCACCAAGGCGACGAUCCGUAACUGGUCUGAGAGGAUGAUCAGUCACACUGGAACUGAGACACGGUCCAGACUCCUACGGGAGGCAGCAGUGGGGAAUAUUGGACAAUGGGCGAAAGCCUGAUCCAGCCAUGCCGCGUGUGUGAAGAAGGUCUUCGGAUUGUAAAGCACUUUAAGUUGGGAGGAAGGGUAGUAACUUAAUACGUUGCUACUUUGACGUUACCGACAGAAUAAGCACCGGCUAACUUCGUGCCAGCAGCCGCGGUAAUACGAAGGGUGCAAGCGUUAAUCGGAAUUACUGGGCGUAAAGCGCGCGUAGGUGGUUCAGUAAGUUGGAAGUGAAAUCCCCGGGCUCAACCUGGGAACUGCUUUCAAAACUGCUGAGCUAGAGUACGGUAGAGGGUGGUGGAAUUUCCUGUGUAGCGGUGAAAUGCGUAGAUUUAGGAAGGAACACCGUGGCGAAGGCGACCACCUGGACUGAUACUGACACUGAGGUGCGAAAGCGUGGGGAGCAAACAGGGAUUAGAUACCCUGGUAGUCCACGCC
This 772-nucleotide ribosomal RNA is filed under the name uncultured bacterium. RNAcentral describes it as "bacterial SSU rRNA". It matches the Rfam family "Bacterial small subunit ribosomal RNA", at positions 33 to 801 of the family's 1533-position model. The record is from RNAcentral.